GCGCGGUUAGCUCAGUUGGUAGAGCAUCUCAUUGACGUUGAGAGGGUCGCAAGUUCGAAUCUUGCACCGCGCA
Molecule: transfer RNA, 73 nt
Filed under: Minisyncoccota bacterium
Lineage: Bacteria; Bacillati; Minisyncoccota
Description: tRNA-Val
Rfam family: tRNA
About the family: Transfer RNA (tRNA) molecules are approximately 80 nucleotides in length. Their secondary structure includes four short double-helical elements and three loops (D, anti-codon, and T loops).
Source: RNAcentral